UUUAAAUAUAAGUUCAUUUGGCGUUUGGUUGGUGACGGUUGAAGGAGUAUUACGAUACGCAAAUAGAAAUUGAAUGUCGAUCGAAUUACUAAGGCUAUCCAAUAAAAAACAUUUCAAACUCGAUUUUACUGUUUGCACUGCCGUUGCUCGAUGGGUGAUAAGCUGGGAUGGGUAUUCUCUUAAUAUUUUGAUUUUUUAAAAACGUCACGAACUUAACUGAGUUAAACGGAGGACCGUUAUCCGAUACCAGUAAAAGUGGUAAACCAAAAAUACUAAAGUUUUUGCAUAGUUUUGAUAUAAAUGAUUUAGCUGUAGUCGUUUUCAUAUAAAAUAAAUCAAGAUAUUUGGAAAAAAACGUCAAAAAUUAUCAAAAAAAUUUGAUUUUUAAAAUAAAAAAAAUCAAUAUGUAAUCGUUCGUAAGGGAAACUAGUACUAGGCCAAGACGAAUUUACUUUCUGAGUGGAAACGUUUCUAUUUGAUUGACAUGUCAAACAACUUGUUACAUAUCGCUCUAUGUCAUCGUCUAUUUUCAUCCACCAGACAUAUGACCUGGCCAAAUAGUUUCAUUCGGAUCAUACCAUUGUGAUUUGUAUGUAAUACUUUUAGAAUAUGAUUUUUUAGAUCUUGUGGAACGACUAUGCGAUAAAUAAGAAUGAACAUCGUCAUCAUGCUUUGACGGCCAACCAAACUGGACAAAAUUUAUAAAUUUUAUUUAAAAAGGAACUUUCUUUUUGACGUCUCCGAAUAGUUUCAAAAUCUAAAGGUAUUUCAUGACUCUCAUUGAAAAAAUUAAUGCAAUCCAUUCCGUCUUCUGGAACACCACUUGGUUCAUCCAAGGGUAAACGUGAGAGAGCAUCUACAUGUCCCAUAAGUCUGCCUGGCUUGAAUUUUAUUUCAUAAUCAUACAUCGUUAAAAUGACUGACCAUCUUUUGAGUCUACCAAUAGCAACGGAAGAAUUACAUUUUUUCGGGUUGAAAAUCUCUUUCAACGGUUCAUGAUCGCUAAAAAGCUGAAAUUUAAGCCCAUAUAUGUAUUUAUGGAAUUUUCGAAUUCCAAAUAUAAUUGCUAGGGCCUCUCUAUGUAA
Episyrphus balteatus (marmalade hoverfly) is the source of this 1085-nucleotide long non-coding RNA. RefSeq lists it as uncharacterized. The transcript is spliced from 2 exons. The record is from RefSeq and is a predicted model, not a curated record. NCBI's taxonomy places the organism in Eukaryota, Metazoa, Arthropoda, Insecta, Diptera, Syrphidae.